AUUGAACGCUGGCGGCAGGCCUAACACAUGCAAGUCGAGCGGGGUUUUCGGACCUAGCAGCGGACGGGUGAGUAAUGCGUAGGAAGCUGCCCGAUAGAGGGGGAUACCAGUUGGAAACGACUGUUAAUACCGCAUAAUGUCUACGGACCAAAGUGUGGGACCUUCGGGCCACAUGCUAUCGGAUGCGCCUACGUGGGAUUAGCUAGUUGGUGAGGUAAUGGCUCACCAAGGCGACGAUCUCUAGCUGGUUUGAGAGGAUGAUCAGCCACACUGGAACUGAGACACGGUCCAGACUCCUACGGGAGGCAGCAGUGGGGAAUAUUGGACAAUGGGCGCAAGCCUGAUCCAGCCAUGCCGCGUGUGUGAAGAAGGCCUUCGGGUUGUAAAGCACUUUCAGCGAGGAGGAAGGGUGGUGUGUUAAUAGCACAUCAUUUUGACGUUACUCGCAGAAGAAGCACCGGCUAACUCUGUGCCAGCCGCCGCCGUAA
This 488-nucleotide ribosomal RNA is filed under the name uncultured bacterium. RNAcentral's name for it is "partial 16S ribosomal RNA". It matches the Rfam family "Bacterial small subunit ribosomal RNA", at positions 30 to 523 of the family's 1533-position model. The record is from RNAcentral.